Molecule: long non-coding RNA, 1619 nt
Organism: Lagenorhynchus albirostris (white-beaked dolphin)
Lineage: Eukaryota; Metazoa; Chordata; Mammalia; Artiodactyla; Delphinidae
Exons: 3
Source: RefSeq, a predicted model, not a curated record
AGCAUUUUAGAAUUAUGGCUGAAAUCACUGUCUUGUUGAUGCUAUCUCUGAUGUAUGUUAAAACAUACUAAAUAACAAAGCUGCUGCUUAGAAUACAUCUGGUUCUCCCACUACUUCACACUCCACAGUUACUUCACACUCCACAGUUAAUCUGAAUAAACAUGCCUACCUGUGGAGCUGGUCUUUCACCAAGAUAAGCGUUGACUGGUUCUUUCAUCUGUUAACAUCUACCUCUGUCUCUACUCCUACUAAAACAACCCCACCUCUGGCCGCUGAGUAUCUUCCUCCAGCACUUCUGCUCCACCAUUACAAGGCAGGCAACACUGUCGGGGCAGGAGGAGGUCUAGAUCCAGUUAGAAGGGGUUGUUAGGCUGAGGAAUUCUGCUUACUAUGGGAACAGUCUUUCAGUAAUAAUUCCCACAGGAAUAAGGUCAUCAGAAACAGAAUGUACGGUUUAUAAUCUCAGUUUGCUACUUUUUCAUCCAAAGCUGUGCUGUCCCAAAUCAUAGUCACUAGCCACAUGACUAUUUAAUUAAAAGUAAAAUUAAAAUUCAGUUCCUCAGUCACAUUAGCCACAUUUCAAAUGCUUAGUACACACAUCGCUAGUGGCUACCUGACUGGACACUGCCGAAAUAUAGAGUAUUUCUGUCAUCACAGAAAGUUCCACUGGACACCGCUGAUAAGCAUCUGAGCAUGAAAAACAAAGUAACAAUCAUAAUUCUUUUUAAAUUAAAAGACAUCCCAGUCUAUUCCAUCACUAUAUAAUCACUUACCAAAAGGGAAAAAUUCUAGUGUUCUUUUUGUUUGUUGUUUUUGUGACAAAAAAACUCUAUGAUAGCUUCCCACUUAAAGUAGAAAAGUUGGAAAACCAGAAAGCUGGAUAUGCAGGUAGCAGUUCCUUUAUUUUCAGAUGGAAUCUAUGAUAAAAACCUGUGACCACCUAUGCCAGCUUACCUGCUGCCAGACUGGGCUGGGCUGCCAGGAGGCCGUGCAGAUGUCACCUGCAGCAUAGAUGUCAGGAAGGGACGUGUGCAUGUGAUCAUCCACCUUCAGGCCACCGUCUUUUGCUACAUCAAACUAAACAAUGUUCCUCAUAAGCAUAUGAGUUACUCAGCACUUGGAACUUGCAGGAACGAGAAGCACAGCAGCACAGUGGUUAAGGGCACAGAUCUAGAGUCCCUGGCUCUAGCAGUUACUAACCAGGUGACCUUAGGCAAACUGCUUAACCUAUCUGCACCUCAGGUUCCCCAACUAUAAAUGGAAAUAAGAGGGAAAACUCAAAUGUUAGCUGCUUUAGAGAAACAACUACAAACCCUACUUCCUAUCUUGCCUAAAGCUCAUCUGAAGGUACUGUUAAUCAUGUGACACUGAGACUUCCCGACAUCUGAGACUGAGGUACUGCCUUUCCUGAGACUGUCUUAGUUUGGGCCUUAUAUCAUUUUGGACUAUUACAACCACCUUCUAAUUUGGUUGUUGGCUACUGGCCACCUGCUCUAUCCCAGUUCAUCCUUGACACUGCUGUCAGAUCCAUCUUCCUAAAAGAGUAUUUUAGCACUCCUGGCUCCACUUAGAAUCUCUUUACUAUUUUUACCACUGAUUAUAAAAUAAACUCAAUAUUA